CCCUUAGAUGUUCUGGGCCGCACGCGCGCUACACUGAUGCACUCAACGAGUCUAAAACCUGCUCUGAUAGGGGUGGGUAAUCUUUUGAAUGUGCAUCGUGAUUGGGAUAGAUGAUUGCAAUUUUUCAUCUUCAACGAGGAAUGCCUAGUAAACGCAAGUCAUCAACUUGCAUUGAUUACGUCCCUGCCCUUUGUACACACCGCCCGUCGCUCCUACCGAUUGAAUGAUCCGAUGAAUAUCAUGGAUUGAGGAUGCAAGCAGGUUCGCCUGUCUUCAUCUUCGAGAAGUGAAGUAAAUCUUAUCAUUUAGAGGAAGGAGAAGUCGUAACA
This 329-nucleotide ribosomal RNA is filed under the name uncultured eukaryote. RNAcentral's name for it is "partial 18S ribosomal RNA". It matches the Rfam family "Eukaryotic small subunit ribosomal RNA", at positions 1470 to 1796 of the family's 1831-position model. The record is from RNAcentral.